CCUACGGGAGGCUGCAGUGAGGAAUAUUGGUCAAUGGACGAGAGUCUGAACCAGCCAAGUAGCGUGAAGGAUGACUGCCCUAUGGGUUGUAAACUUCUUUUAUAUGGGAAUAAAAUGUUCCACGUGUGGGAUUUUGUAUGUACCAUAUGAAUAAGGAUCGGCUAAGUCCGUGCCAGCAGCCGCGGUAAUACGGAGGAUCCGAGCGUUAUCCGGAUUUAUUGGGGUUAAAGGGAGCGUAGGUGGAUUGUUAAGGCAGUUGUGAAAGUUUGCGGCUCAACCGGAAAAUUGCAGGGGAACCUGGCAGUCUUGAGUACAGUAGAGGUGGGCGGAAUUCGUUGUGUAGCGGUGAAAUGCUUAGAUAUCACGAAGAACUCCGAUUGCGAAGGCAGUUCACUGGACUGCAACUGACACUGAGGCUCGAAAGUGUGGGUAUCAAACAGGAUUAGAUACCCGUGUAGUC
RNAcentral lists this ribosomal RNA (460 nucleotides) under uncultured bacterium. RNAcentral's name for it is "partial 16S ribosomal RNA". It matches the Rfam family "Bacterial small subunit ribosomal RNA", at positions 338 to 795 of the family's 1533-position model. The record is from RNAcentral.